GGUGAUGUAGCUCAGUGGUAAAGCACUUGCCUAGCAUGUGUGAGGCCCUGAGUUCAAUCCCCAGAACCACUA
Molecule: transfer RNA, 72 nt
Filed under: Ictidomys tridecemlineatus (thirteen-lined ground squirrel)
Lineage: Eukaryota; Metazoa; Chordata; Mammalia; Rodentia; Sciuridae
Description: Spermophilus tridecemlineatus (thirteen-lined ground squirrel) tRNA
Rfam family: tRNA
About the family: Transfer RNA (tRNA) molecules are approximately 80 nucleotides in length. Their secondary structure includes four short double-helical elements and three loops (D, anti-codon, and T loops).
Source: Rfam by way of RNAcentral